Molecule: unclassified non-coding RNA, 391 nt
Filed under: soil metagenome
Description: partial contains 5.8S ribosomal RNA, internal transcribed spacer 2, and large subunit ribosomal RNA
Rfam family: 5.8S ribosomal RNA (bases 1-122)
Source: RNAcentral
GAUGAAGAACGCAGCGAAAUGCGAUACUUGGUGUGAACUGCAGAAUCCCGUGAACCAUCGAGUCUUUGAACGCAAGUUGCGCCCGAAGCCACUAGGCCGAGGGCACGCCUGCCUGGGCGUCACACGCCGUUGCCCCCCCAUCUACUCCUUCGGGAUUGCGGGGGGGCGGAUGAUGGCCUCCCGUGCGCCUAGCCGCGCGGUUGGCAUAAAUACCAAGUCCUCGGCGACGCACGCCACGACAAUCGGUGGUUGCGAAACCUCGGUUGCCCGUCGUGUGCGUUCGUCGCGCAUCGAGGGCUCGAAAAAAUGCUCGGCUCCGGCUGGGCUUUCAACGCGACCCCAGGUCAGGCGGGGUUACCCGCUGAAUUUAAGCAUAUCAAUAAGCGGAGGA